Lycium barbarum (goji berry) is the source of this 2814-nucleotide long non-coding RNA. RefSeq lists it as uncharacterized. Lineage: Eukaryota; Viridiplantae; Streptophyta; Magnoliopsida; Solanales; Solanaceae. The record is from RefSeq and is a predicted model, not a curated record. The transcript is spliced from 4 exons.
UAUAUUAAACAAAAUAAAUCAAAAAGCUACUCUCUUAAAUUCGAAAUGUUACUCCUCCAAUAUAUAUAUUAAAUGCCCUUUGCAAUAAAACCCAAGUAACCCACUAAUCAGACCACGUAGUAUAAUAUUCAUAGUGACAAUUCAUCACGGAUAAUUAAUGGAAUUACGGAUAAUUAUAGCGACAAUCAUACCUUUGACUCUUGAUAUUUUACUUUUUGGCCUUAUAUAUCUUCUUAUUCUCUCUUUUUUUUUUUUUUUUUUUUUUUUCUGAGUCUGCUAUUCUCUCUUGUGCCUUUUCAACUGCGAGCCAAAAAUAUUCAAUAUCUCUUUCUCCACAUGCAAGGUAUCUAAUAAUCUUAUAAUCUAGAUAUUUAGAUGACUUAAUUUUAUUUAUAUUGAUUGUUUAUUUGCUCUUUUUUUUUUCCCGAGUUUGAUCUUCUCUUUGUUCAUUAUUUUAGCUAGGUAACUAUUGUUUUUCUUUGUUUUGGUAGGUGGUUAUUGGAGAUUUCAUAUACUAUUAAAGAACAAGAACGUAAAAAAGAAUGUACAAAAGUUAUGGAUUAUUUCUUGGCAUUAGUUUCACAUGCCAAAAGGUUUGGUUUUAGUAUUAACAGAUCAUGGUAUUUUAGUAUUAAUCAGCAUAUGACGUGUAUAUCUUGAAUUCAUAUUAGAUGGUUUAUAAAGGAUUAAACAAAAUCAAACUACCAUUUAGAUUUGCAUUACCAAAUUGUUACGUUAUCCUUUUUUUUUCCUCACUUCUUCACCACCUUUAUUUUUGUUUCUAUUCAAGUUAACAUUUAUUGAUUUAAUGAUUAGUUUCAUAUUCGACCUUAUCUCUAAAUAAACUUUCAAUCAAAAGAAUAUAUAUAUAUAUAUAUAUAUAGAUUUAAAGAACCCUGAAAAAAAAACGUGAAAAGACGUUUGUUAAUAAAUAGUAUUUCUUUUGUAAAAAUUAUUACACUAAAAUCUAUUUGUUUAAUAAUUGCGCGAAAAGCACACUAAUUUUUAUUUUGAAAAGACACUUUCCUUGGUUUAACGAUAAGUGGAUUAACAAAACUAUUGGAUUUUUUUUUUUUCCCUUCAUUGCUUUCCGGAGGAAAAUCAUGUGCAGACGUCUCUUCCUUUACUGAGAACGCAACAGUGAUUGUGAAGUAGAAGGAGAACUGCCUUCAAUUUGGAAUGGAAGCUGCUGGCAUUCAUGAAACAACGUAUAACUCGAUCAUGAAGUGUGAUGUGGAUAUCAGGAAGGAUCUUUAUGGAGACAUUGUACUUAGUGUUAUACCCCGUACAUUUAUACGACAAAUUAUCCGCAAGCAAAUCGACUCAAGUUAAAGGAGGAAUUAUUUUCGGACAUGAAAUAAGAGCUUUUAAUUUUCAACUUUGAUUAUCACAAAAAUUGAUUAAUUAAAGUUAGACAAGUAAAUUAGUGGGACAUGUGUCAAUGUUAAGGGCUACUUAUAUAAGGCAUAAGAUGACUUAUAUUCCUCCAUUAUUCACAAAACUCAUCCAUCAAAGUAGAGUUAGUGAGAGAAGCUCUCAAGCUUAGAGAGAGAGAGCAGUUCCCGGCGCUACUAUUCACGGCGGCGCACUGUUCACGGCCAGCCCAUUUUUGCCCCCUUCUACACAAUUAAUUGGAGAGAUUUGAAGCUCAAGAGGAGGAAAAAGAUGGAGCUCAUGAUAGCCAUGGCUUUCUUGAAGACAUUUCAUGGUGAAAAAUUAGAGCUUGUCUCUAAGACCUUGGGGAGCCCGAGGCGUAGAUUGGGAUUUACUUUAGAUUGGCUAUCUUGGAGUGCGUACGAGGUACAGACGCACAGUUUGGUGAUCUACCCACUUAGGACACCCUCUUCUGCUGUUUGGAGUGCUCUUCUCAUUUCAGAGCACACAUUUUGGUAUAUAUAUUCGUUCUCUAUGUAUAUAUGUAUUUGUUCAGGGGCACGGCGGGGCCCUGUCCCGCCAUAUGAUUCGGUUUGUCUGUUUAGAGGUCUGUAGACGUAUUUGUGGGUGUGUGUGCCUACUUCUGUACGGAUGUGUUUGCAUGACUCUAUUCGUUAUGGCAGCCUUGUCGGCUCGCACAUGUAUAUGUUGUUCUGUUGGCCUUGUGUGGCCUUUGUUGGUAUUUGCUGUGUACAGGGUUAUUUUGGAUAGUCCGAAAAACAAAGGAAACUCUGCCGAAAUUUUCUUUGAAAAUCUCAUAAAUAUGAAACACCGCCUUGUCGGCUUCUGUUAUAUGCCUGGAUGGGUUUGCUAUAAUCUGAGGCAGUGUUUGAUAUAUGUGUUGGUAUAAGUUAUCUGUUUGCCACUCGGAUUUGUGAUUGUGUUCGGGUGCCCAAUUCGGGCACUAGUCACGGCCCACGGGGUUGGGUCGUGACACUUAGUGGCGGUUCAACUAUGUUCAAUGGAAUUGCUGAUAGAAUGAGCAAAGAAAUUACUGCAUUGGCUCCAAGCAGCAUGAAAAUUAAAGUUGUUGCUCCACCAGAAAGGAAGUAUAGUGUUUAGAUUGGAGGCUCUAUUUUGGCUUCUCUAAGUACUUUCCAACAGAUGUGGAUUGCAAAGGCAGAAUUUAGAGGAAACUUGGAGUGUACCAUGGAACAUCGGCAUAAUGCCAAGCAAGGGGAGAAAUAUUUUGAAUCUGGACAAGCAGCCGGUGGCCACAUUAAGAUCAAGAAAAGAUGAAUGAAGGAAAGCAGAAAGCAGAAGACAAAUUGUCAUAUUUCUUCUCAAAGCAUUGUGUAUAUCAGUAGUGGUUAGUGUAGGAAGUUUUCAUGCUGAUAUUUUCCACCUGGAUCAUAUUAUAGCUGCUUUUGCAGCAGAACA